UCAAGUGACUAAGUGCAUGUGGCGGAUGCCUUGGCGAUCACAGGCGAAGAAAGACGCGGCAGCCUGCGAAAAGCUGCGGGGAGCUGGCAAACGAGCUUUGAUCCGCAGAUAUCUGAAUGGGGGAACCCACACCGCAAGGUGUAUCCGUAGCUGAAUACAUAGGUUACGGAGGCGAACGAGGAGAACUGAAACAUCUAAGUAUCCUCAGGAAAAGAAAUCAACCGAGAUUCCGGCAGUAGCGGCGAGCGAACCCGGAGGAGCCUAGCUUUUGAUAGUACGAACUUUAGCCGAAAGGUCCUGGAAAGGCCUGCUAUAGUGGGUGAUAGCCCCGUAGGCGAAAGAGUUGGUACGGUACUAAGGAAGCGAGAAGUAGAGCGGGACACGUGGAAUCCUGUUCGAAGACGGGGGGACCAUCCUCCAAGGCUAAAUACUCGUGAUCGACCGAUAGUGAACCAGUACCGUGAGGGAAAGGCGAAAAGAACCCCGGGAGGGGAGUGAAAUAGAACCUGAAACCGCAUGCAUACAAACAGUAGGAGCCUCAUCAGAGGUGACUGCGUACCUUUUGCAUAAUGGGUCAGCGACUUACAUUCUGUGGCGAGCUUAACCGAAUAGGGGAGGCGCAGCGAAAGCGAGUUCGAAAUGAGCGUCCAGUCGCAGGGUGUAGACCCGAAACCAGAUGAGCUAUCCAUGGCCAGGUUGAAGGUGUGGUAACACACACUGGAGGACCGAACCGACUAGUGUUGCAAAAUUAGCGGAUGAGCUGUGGAUAGGGGUGAAAGGCCAAACAAAUCUGGAGAUAGCUGGUUCUCCCCGAAAACUAUUGAGGUAGUGCCUCGUGUGUCGCUCCAGGGGGUAGAGCACUGUUUUGGCUAGGGGGACAUGGAGUCUUACCAAACCAAGGCAAACUCCGAAUACCUGGAAGCGUAAGCACGGGAGACAGAGCACCGGGUGCUAACGUCCGGACUCAAAAGGGAAACAACCCAGACCGCCGGCUAAGGUCCCAAAUAACAGCUAAGUGGAAAACGAAGUGGAAAGGCCGUGACAACCAGGAAGUUGGCUUAGAAGCAGCCAUCCUUCAAAGAAAGCGUAAUAGCUCACUGGUCGAGUCCUUCUGCGCGGAAGAUGUAACGGGGCUAAGCUGUUAACCGAAGCCGCGGAUGCGCUGGUUAUCCAGUGCGUGGUAGGGGAGCGUUCUGUAAGUCUGCGAAGGCGGUUCGAGAGGACUGCUGGAGAUAUCAGAAGUGCGAAUGCUGACAUGAGUAACGUUAAAGCAGGUGAAAAGCCUGCUCGCCGUAAGCCCAAGGAUUCCUGCUCUACGUUCAUCGGAGCAGGGUGAGUCGGCUCCUAAGGUCAGGCCGAAAGGCGUAGCCGAUGGGAAUCAGGUUAAUAUUCCUGAACCUGCGUCAGAUGCGAUGGGGGGACGGAGCAUGGAAGAUCAUCCGGGUGUUGGAAGUCCCGGUUGUUGAGCGUAGGAGGUCUGCAGGCAAAUCCGCAGACGCAUCUCCAAGGCAAAGACACGUGCCGCCACGGCGGCGAAGUGAUCGGAAGUGCUUCCAAGAAAAGCCUCUAAGCCCCAGUCUGACGCGGACCGUACCGCAAACCGACACUGGUGGGCGAGCUGAAUAUGCUCAGGCGCUUGAGAGAACUCGGGAGAAGGAACUCGGCAAAUUGACACCGUAACUUCGGAAGAAGGUGUGCCGUAGUACCGUGAGAGGAGAGACACCUUGAGCGGGAAACGGUCUCAGAGAAUAGGUGGCUGCGACUGUUUAUUAAAAACACAGCACUCUGCAAAGUCGAAAGACGACGUAUAGGGUGUGAUGCCUGCCCGGUGCUGGAAGAUUAAUUGAUGGGGUGAGAGCCCUUGAUCGAAGUCCCAGUAAACGGCGGCCGUAACUAUAACGGUCCUAAGGUAGCGAAAUUCCUUGUCGGGUAAGUUCCGACCUGCACGA
Molecule: ribosomal RNA, 1949 nt
Filed under: human gut metagenome
Description: bacterial LSU rRNA
Rfam family: Bacterial large subunit ribosomal RNA
Source: RNAcentral